This 301-nucleotide ribosomal RNA is filed under the name uncultured bacterium. Its description in RNAcentral is "bacterial SSU rRNA". It matches the Rfam family "Bacterial small subunit ribosomal RNA", at positions 334 to 631 of the family's 1533-position model. The record is from RNAcentral.
CUUUCCUACGGGGUGCAGCAGUGAGGAAUAUUGGUCAAUGGGCGGGAGCCUGAACCAGCCAAGUCGCGUGAGGGAAGACGGUCCUAUGGAUUGUAAACCUCUUUAGGCGGGGAGCAAUGCCGGGCACGUGUGCCCGGAGGGAGAGUACCCGCAGAAUAAGCAUCGGCUCACUCCGUGCCAGCAGCCGCGGUAAUACGGAGGAUGCGAGCGUUAUCCGGAUUUAUUGGGUGUAAAGGGUGCGUAGGCGGAUUUUUAAGUCAGCGGUAAAAUGUCCGGGCUCAACCCGGGCCGUCCGGUUGAA